GAUGAACGCUAGCGAUAGGCUUAACACAUGCAAGUCGAGGGGCAGCACGAAUUAGCAAUAGUUUGGUGGCGACCGGCGCACGGGUGCGUAACACGUAUACAACCUACCUUCAAUUGGGGGAUAACCUGGAGAAAUUCGGACUAAUAUCCCAUAGUAAACAGAAGAGGCAUCUUUUUUGUUUUAAAGAUUUAUUGAUUGGAGAUGGGUAUGCGUAGGAUUAGCUAGUUGGUAAGGUAACGGCUUACCAAGGCGACGAUCCUUAGGGGUUCUGAGAGGAAGGUCCCCCACACUGGUACUGAGACACGCACCAGACUCCUACGGGAGGCAGCAGUGAGGAAUAUUGGGCAAUGGUCGAGAGACUGAACCAGCCAAGUCGCGUGAAGGAAGACGGCUCUAUGAGUUGUAAACUUCUUUUGUACAGGAGUAAAGUGAGACACGUGUGUUUUAUUGCAAGUACUGUACGAAUAAGCAUCGGCUAACUCCGUGCCAGCAGCCGCGGUAAUACGGAGGAUGCAAGCGUUAUCCGGAUUUAUUGGGUUUAAAGGGUGCGUAGGCGGUAUUACAAGUCAGGGGUGAAAUCUUGGUGCUUAACAUUAAAAUUGCCUUUGAAACUGUGGUACUUGAGUGUAAAAGAGGUAGGCGGAAUGUGUUGUGUAGCGGUGAAAUGCAUAGAUAUAACACAGAACCCCGAUUGCGAAGGCAGCUUACUAUCAUACAACUGACGCUGAUGCACGAAAGCGUGGGGAUCAAACAGGAUUAGAUACCCUGGUAGUCCACGCAGUAAACGAUGAUUACUAGCUGUUAGCGAUAUAUUGUUAGUGGCUAAGCGAAAGCGAUAAGUAAUCCACCUGGGGAGUACGUUCGCAAGAAUGAAACUCAAAGGAAUUGACGGGGGCCCGCACAAGCGGAGGAACAUGUGGUUUAAAUUCGAUGAUACGCGAAGAACCUUACCCCG
Molecule: ribosomal RNA, 955 nt
Filed under: Bacteroidetes bacterium oral taxon 274
Lineage: Bacteria; Pseudomonadati; Bacteroidota
Description: bacterial SSU rRNA
Rfam family: Bacterial small subunit ribosomal RNA
Source: RNAcentral